RNAcentral lists this long non-coding RNA (230 nucleotides) under Lathyrus oleraceus (garden pea). RNAcentral describes it as "Pisum sativum (pea) long non-coding RNA (PSAT_LNC034839)". The record is from RNAcentral. Lineage: Eukaryota; Viridiplantae; Streptophyta; Magnoliopsida; Fabales; Fabaceae.
GAAAACCCCCUUCAACAUCCCAACAACAGAUCUAUAUUCUACAGUCAUACAUCCUAUGAAUCCGAAAACCAAAUAUCGAACACGAAAUCAAACUAUAGAUUUACAGAGGUGCAAGGUUGCGGGAAGAAAAAGAAGAAUUAUGCAUGCAUUUAGUUGUAUCAAAGUAACUCGAAAUCAGCAAUAGUAGCAAGGGGUUUUACCAGAUCGAGGUAUCUUGGGGAGGAACGAAC